Molecule: ribosomal RNA, 407 nt
Filed under: uncultured bacterium
Lineage: Bacteria
Description: partial 16S ribosomal RNA
Rfam family: Bacterial small subunit ribosomal RNA
Source: RNAcentral
AUUGAACGCUGGCGGCAGGCCUAACACAUGCAAGUCGAGCGGAGCGGCGGACGGGUGAGUAAUGCCUAGGAAUCUGCCUGGUAGUGGGGGCUACCUUCCGGAAACGGGCGCUAAUACCGCAUACUAUCAGAUGAGCCUCGGUCGGAUUAGCUAGUUGGUAGGGUAAAGGCCUACCAAGGCGACGAUCCGUAACUGGUCUGAGAGGAUGAUCAGUCAGACUGGAACAGAGACACGGGCCAGACGCCUACGGGAGGCAGCAGUGGGGAAUGUUGGACAAUGGGCGAAAGCCGGAUUCAGCCAUGCCGCGUGUGUGAAGAAGGUCUUCGGAUUGUAAAGCACUUUAAGUUGGGAGGCGUUACCAACAGAAUAAGCACCGGCUAACUUCGUGCCAGCAGCCGCGGUAAUAC